AAAGGAAUAGACGGGGGCCCGCACAAGCGGUGGAGCAUGUGGUUUAAUUCGAAGCAACGCGAAGAACCUUACCAGGUCUUGACAUCGAUCUAAAGGUCCUAGAGAUAGGAAGAUAGUUAUAGAGAAGACAGGUGGUGCAUGGUUGUCGUCAGCUCGUGUCGUGAGAUGUUGGGUUAAGUCCCGCAACGAGCGCAACCCUUGUCGUUAGUUACCAGCACUUAAGGUGGGGACUCUAACGAGACCGCCGGUGACAAGCCGGAGGAAGACGGGGAUGACGUCAAAUCAUCAUGCCCCUUAUGACCUGGGCGACACACGUGCUACAAUGGUAGGGACAAAGAGAAGCGAAGCAGUGAUGUGGAGCGAACCUCAAAAACCCUAUCGUAGUCCGGAUUGCAGUCUGCAACUCGACUGCAUGAAGCUGGAAUCGCUAGUAAUCGCAAGUCAGCCAUAUUGCGGUGAAUACGUUCUCGGGCCUUGUACACACCGCCCGU
This 491-nucleotide ribosomal RNA is filed under the name uncultured bacterium. Its description in RNAcentral is "bacterial SSU rRNA". It matches the Rfam family "Bacterial small subunit ribosomal RNA", at positions 903 to 1397 of the family's 1533-position model. The record is from RNAcentral.